CUCUCUCUCUUGAAGAAGAAGAAAAAGAAGAAGAAGAUUUCACUUAGGGAUUCAAGCUAAGGGUCAAAUUCCUCCAUUAAAAGCUUGAAAUUUUUGGCCAAAAAACUUUUGAGUAGUGACUUGGGAAUUCCUAGCCUAGUCCAGAAUUGGACGAAAUCUAAGUCAGGUGAGGUAUAGGAAAAUAUGGUAGUGAAUGAGAGAAUUAAUUAUGAAUUUGAUUACAUGAAUAGAUAGCAUAGACAUUUUGGAG
RNAcentral lists this long non-coding RNA (250 nucleotides) under Solanum tuberosum (potato). RNAcentral's name for it is "long non-coding RNA (STUB_LNC007317)". The record is from RNAcentral. Lineage: Eukaryota; Viridiplantae; Streptophyta; Magnoliopsida; Solanales; Solanaceae.